UUUUCUUACCUUGAGACAAUCAGACUCACUUUUAAUUGUCUUCCAAUUGUUACAUUUUUAAUCAUCUCUUUUUUUUAUUCUCUUAAUCAACAUUUACAUCUUUCUAUUAAUUAAUUGUGAUUCUACUUAAUUACAAUUAUGUCUCACUGAUGAUUAACUGAUUAUAAAUUGUUACCUUUUUGUGAUUAGUUUUUUUGUUCUUUUCUUUUUUUUUUAAAUUCUAUUCUCUUUUUCCUCCAUUUUGUUUAUUUCCCUCGUAAUUUUUUUCUCCCUUAAUUUAUUUAAUUGUUUGAUUUCUUUGUUAUCUUUACAAUUAAUUGUCUGUGAUUAAAUUUAAUUUCUCUUUGGUUAUCUAACCAUCUUUCAUAAGAUUUAAAUCCCCGUUAGCAACUCAUCAAUUUUUUUUCUAAAUCUUCAUCUUGGUCUUUAUUUCCGUUUCCAAUUUUCACCUUUUGUGUCAGUUUUGGAUUCCAUUUUUAAUUGUUAUUCUAAUAAGAGAUUAUAGUGUGUCCCUCAUAAUUUAGAUUAUUAAUAUGGUCUCUCAAUCUUUUGCUUGGUAAUCCUGUUUAUUGUUUAUCCUCAUCUUUUUCUGUUGUUAUUUUUUCUUCAACAUGUUUCCAUUUUCUCAGGUAAAAACAUGCAAAGUUUUUUUUGUUCUCUUGUUGUCCUGGACUUGUAAUAAAUUGCGAAUAGAUGAUUUUGAGUAAUCAUCUUCUUCAGAUGUGGUACUAAGAAUGUGGUUAACUUUGGAUAAUUAAUUGAUGACAGUAAUUACUUCAUCUUCUAAUUUAUAUUAUCUAUGUGAAAAACAACUUGCUGAAGAAAAAAAGGAAACAACAACUAGAAUAACAAUGGAAAUCAAAUCUGAAAGUAAAGAGAUUCAUGGAUAAUAAUAAGAUAUUACAUUUCCAGCCAUUUAAUGGAUUGGAUUAAUUGUUGAACCCUUAUUUUCUUUUGUCUUCUUUCCAUUUCUUAUAUUGAUAGAAAGGGAAAUCUUGUUGAGUGAUACUCGUAAGAAUUUAUCAUCAUUUCCAUCAACAUCAACAGGAUCAUCACAAUCUCAACGGAAUUGGUCAGAAACACCAAACAGUGAAUUGAAAGAAAAGUGAAAUAUUGGUUGGCAUAACAUAACAUCCUCAUCAUCAUCAUCGACAACAACAACAACACGAGAAACAACUACAAUAUCAAUGAUAAUGAUGAUAAUAUCAAUAAGAUCAACUCUCCCACAACUCCAAUCAGUUGAAUUGAAGCUUCAACGGGCAAACAGUCAACAUUAACUUGUCCCAACUGUAAACUUGAAUGUCAAUGUGAAGAGAGAGAGAGAGGAAGAGACAGUAAAAAGAUACAUUCAUUUAUAUGAAUCAAAGUAAUAUGUCAUCUAACAUAUUCAAAAUAUCAAGAACAAUAAUCAUAGAAAGACAGUGAGAGAGUCAUACCCAUAGAAAAGUAUCAUGUCAGAUCCGUAGAUUGAUGGGAAAAUGUUGUAAUAUUACAUAGAUAAAGAGAGAGAGAGAGAGAGAGAAAGUGGGGGAGUAAGAGAGAUAAAAAUGAAAAUGAGAUGAAUGAGAGUAUAAAAAAAUACAGUGAACAAAAAAACGAGAUGUACUUGAGAGUUUAUCCGAUUGCGAUUCAAGUAGUAGACAUGAUGAUGACUCUGAGGAAGACGAGAAAAAAGUACACAUGGACAUUGAUGAGAGAGAAAAACAAAGGAUGAGGAAGCAUAAGAGGCCUGAUGACUACGAUGAGAAAGAUUCUCAAUGGUUAACACACUUACAAUCGACAUUCUAAUUCACAAAAUACGGUUACUGUCAAAAUUUUCUCAUCAUCUCAUCUCCUUCAUCUUCUUUAAGUCAUCAUGAUUAACCUAAACAUCAUCACAAUCAAGACUCAGGAUGCAAACAAUUGAUCAACUCCCAAUAGGAUUGAAAGAAAAGUAAACUUAUCAAGAUUAAUUGUUACUUUCCCAUUAUCAUAAUUAACAAAACUAAUAACAAUUAGGCCAAAAUUAUAACAGUAAAUGUUUCCCCCUUCACGAUUUAAUCUAUUACAUGUUCACUAAUCUUAAUCCAAACAAUUUCAAUUCAGUUAAUUAACUUGAUUAGAAAUAAUAAUUUUUAAAUUUUCUUCCAUGUUUUCAUAUUAUCAAAAUUGACAGGGAACAAAAAUCAAUAUAAUCUAGUUAAUUAUAAUCCGAAUCAGUUAAAAUAACAUAGAAAAUGAGACAUAAUCAAUAUUUAAGGCAGAAAAUUUAAUGAUUAAUUAAAAAGAACAUGAUAAUUAUUUAUACCAUAUUAUCAUCUUUGAAUUAUUAAUUAUCAUCAACUUUUUCCGCUCUCUAACUAACUCAUAAUCAUCACUGUUAAUUAUUAUCAUUAUAAUCAUCAGUUAAUCUGUUACCUUUUUCAUCUUCAUCAAAUGAUAUAAUAUAAAUGUUAAAAUCCUCUAGUACAUUAACGUAAUUUAGAUAUUCAUUUAAAUUAUUAAUCAUUACUGUUCAUUUAAUCAUGUUGUUUUUACGUUAUAUUCAUGAUAAGUUUCCUAUUUCAUAAUAAUAAUCAUCAUCUUUUUAAUCACCUUUCAAAUCCUAAUCAUUAGUUUUCCAUUCAUUUCCUUUACAUAUCAUUUUUCAGUUAUAAUUACAAUUACUGUUCCUUGUUUAAUCCUUUGCUAAAUAAGGUUUAAAUAGAUCACAAAAAAACAAGCAACAUGAUUAAAUAUCAUUAAAUUGAAUCAUGUUAUUGAAUCAAAUUAGGAUUGUAAACAAACAGAAUUGAUGAUGAUGAUGAUGAUGAUGAGAGUCAGAAUCAACAUGAACCAAUAUUAUUUUAUAGAAGUAAAAAUCUUAAAAUAAUUGGACUUAAAAUUUGGGAUAAAGAGAAACACUGAAAGUAAGAUGAUGAAGAUAAGGGAAAUGAUGAUGGAGGUGGAUGAUGAGGAAGAGAAUAAAAAAAGAUGAGUUGUUUUUUUUUAUCUUAUAUGAAGGUAUUGAAAUACAAUAUAAAUCGGCUUUGUUAGUCUUUAAAAUGGUUCAUUUAAGUUGUGCAUUGAAAUAAUAGUUAUCAUGAUUCAGGGAGGAAGAUAAAGAUGAUGAAGGAUGAUGAUGCUACUGGAACUUGUAAAAUUACAACAUGUUCAGACAUGCAUUUCGCAUGCAAAGAGAUCAGUUUUUUUGUUCAUUAUUUCAUCAUCUUCGUCUCUCUCUCUCUCUCUUUCUCUCUCUCCGAUUCUUCAUCAAUUCAACUUACAAGCUUAAGAUCAAGUCUCAAGGGGAAAAGAUCAAGAAUGAUGAGGAAUUUGGUGAGAGAGAUGGAAAACAAGGAUGAAAAAGAAAAAGAAAAAGGUAAAAUCCUUUCAUCAAUUUUUGAUGAAUUAAUAUUUUUUCACUUUGCUGUAUUAUCAUCAUGCUGUAAAUAGAAAAGGUCUUCUCUCUCUCUCUCUCUCUCCCAGGAGAAUGAGUUUAGUGAUAUUAAAAAUACAAGAGGAUGAAAAGAUGAAGAUGAAAUGAGAAACAACUAAAAACAACAAAUAAUAAUACAUAGUAAAAAGAUUAUCAUCAUUAACAUUACAAUGAUGAUGAUAAUAAACAAAAUAAUGUUUGAUGAUGAUUUUUAUGAGAUUGAAGAUGAUGAUGAAGACAGAAUAGAGCCUACGGUGUUUUCUUUCAUCCUCAUCCUCAUCCACUUCCAUCAUCCUAAACCUUAUUAUCACAAUGAUGGUUGAUCAUCAUCAUCAUCAUUGGAAAGUGAUGAUGGUAUAAAAAAUUAAUGUGAAUUAAACUCAUCAUCAUCAAUAUCAUCAACUAAUUGUAACUAUUAUGAUGACAUUUUCAAUGAUCACUAUUGAAGAUUAUGGUGAAGCUUAACACCGGCACAACGGACUAAACUCCCAAUGGUAAAUGCGAGUAUUAAUAAUAAAUGUGAUCAAUUGGAACGGGUACAUUUCAGUUACAAUUUAUACCGUUAUUAAACUCAGGCCAAAGUCAAAUAAUGAUAAUGAUAUAUUUUCAUUAUCAUUUAGUAAUUUUAACUUUUUCCUCUUCCUCCAUCCCUCCGAUGAGUCAAUGUAAUCACAAUAAUAAUAAGAAUGAAUCUAAACAACAACCUGCCUCAAGGAAUCACUUUUUCCUUCAUCAUCUUCUUGUUUCUCUAAAACUUUCAUCAUCAAUUUUAGCUUAUCCUCAUUCCUAUGAGCUGUUUUUCAACAAAUCUUUUUCCAUUUGAUAUUCAUCAUCAUCUUUUUGGCUCUUUUUACAUCUUUCUCUCUCUCUCUCUCUCUCCCU
This is a long non-coding RNA of Panonychus citri (citrus red mite), 4279 nucleotides long. RefSeq lists it as uncharacterized. The record is from RefSeq and is a predicted model, not a curated record. The transcript has 4 exons. Lineage: Eukaryota; Metazoa; Arthropoda; Arachnida; Trombidiformes; Tetranychidae.